UACGUAGGGGGCAAGCGUUGUCCGGAAUCAUUGGGCGUAAAGCGCGUGUAGGCGGCCAGGUAAGUCCGUUCUGAAAGCCCGGGGCUCAACCCCGGGAGGCGGAUGGAUACUGCUUGGCUCGAGUCCGGAAGAGGCGAGUGGAAUUCCCGGUGUAGCGGUGAAAUGCGCAGAUAUCGGGAGGAACACCAAUGGCGAAGGCAGCUCGCUGGGACGGUACUGACGCUGAGGUGCGAAAGCGUGGGGAGCAAACAGG
This 253-nucleotide ribosomal RNA is filed under the name uncultured bacterium. Its description in RNAcentral is "partial 16S ribosomal RNA". It matches the Rfam family "Bacterial small subunit ribosomal RNA", at positions 524 to 776 of the family's 1533-position model. The record is from RNAcentral.